AAUAAAGUAUAAGAGGUCCCGCCUGCCCAGUGAUUAAUUUUAACGGCCGCGGUAUCAUGACCGUGCAAAGGUAGCGUAAUCACUUGUCUUUUAAAUAAAGACCUGUAUGAAAGGCAAAACGAAAACUUAACUGUCUCUUUAAUCCAAUCAGUAAAAUUAAUCUUCCCGUGCAGAAACGGGGAUAAUUAUAUAAGACGAGAAGACCCUAUGGAGCUUUAAAUACAAGAUUAAUUAUACUUUUACCACUAACCAAUAGGUAAACAAUAUAGACAUAUAAAGAUAAUCUAAGUUUUCGGUUGGGGCGACCACGGAAGAAAAAAUAUCCUCCGAGAUAGACAAUUUAGAAUUACAUUUCAAAACCUAAAACAUUUGUUAUAAAUGACCCACUAAGUGAUCAACGAACCAAGUUACCCUAGGGAUAACAGCGCAAUCCUUUCUAAGAGUUCCUAUCGACGAAUGGGUUUACGACCUCGAUGUUGGAUCAGGACAUCCUAAUGGUGCAGCCGCUAUUAAAGGUUCGUUUGUUCAACGAUUAAAGUCCU
This 542-nucleotide ribosomal RNA is filed under the name Euproctus platycephalus. RNAcentral's name for it is "partial 16S ribosomal RNA". It matches the Rfam family "Bacterial large subunit ribosomal RNA", at positions 1837 to 2597 of the family's 2925-position model. Lineage: Eukaryota; Metazoa; Chordata; Amphibia; Caudata; Salamandridae. The record is from RNAcentral.